Molecule: ribosomal RNA, 223 nt
Filed under: Chloropicon laureae
Lineage: Eukaryota; Viridiplantae; Chlorophyta; Chloropicophyceae; Chloropicales; Chloropicaceae
Description: partial Bacterial large subunit ribosomal RNA
Rfam family: Bacterial large subunit ribosomal RNA
Source: RNAcentral
GGGGCGGUCGCCUCCUAAAGUGUAACGGAGGCGCGCGAAGGUUGGCUCAGAGCGGUCGGAAAUCGCUCGUUGAGUGCAAUGGCAUAAGCCAGCCUGACUGCGAGACUGACAAGUCGAGCAGAGUCGAAAGACGGCCAUAGUGAUCCGGUGGUCCCAAGUGGGAGGGCCAUCGCUCAACGGAUAAAAGGUACGCCGGGGAUAACAGGCUGAUCUCCCCCAAGAG